UCCUUUUCUAAAUGAAAUUUGAAAUCAUAUGGCGCGAAAUUUCUAAUUGAAUUUGUAAGUGUAUGUAUUUUUCCACAUUAUUAUCAUUAUGUUGACAAUUUAUCUGGAAAGCUUUUUUUCUACAUUCUGAGUGUUUGAGUGACAGUACGAGUGAUUUGUUGUUUUCUUUAUGGACAAUAUGGAAAUUUUCCUUGCACGAAGUUGAGAGUUUUGAUAAGGAUCUUGAGAGCGGAUCCUAACAAG
Molecule: long non-coding RNA, 243 nt
Filed under: Salvia miltiorrhiza (redroot sage)
Lineage: Eukaryota; Viridiplantae; Streptophyta; Magnoliopsida; Lamiales; Lamiaceae
Description: long non-coding RNA (SMIL_LNC012060)
Source: RNAcentral